GAGAAGGUGAAUGGAUCCACGGUCAACGUCGGCAUCCACCCCAGCAAGGUGAUCGUCACCAAGCUCAAGCUGGACAAGGACCGCAAGGCCCUCCUCGACCGCAAGGCUCGUGGCCGCGCUGCUGACAAGGCCAAGGGCAAGUUCACCGCCGAGGACGUCGCCGCCGCAGCUGGUGGCGCCACGGCCACCGGCGCCUCGCUCCAGGAGAUUGAUUAAGCUCGGUUGCCAUACUGCUCUUGCUAUCCUAGUUUUUUACCAAUCACCUGUUCUGUUAGGAUAUGCUAUCUGAAAACUGCUGCUUUAUUAUUCGUAAGAUGUCCGUGGAUGAGCG
Molecule: long non-coding RNA, 331 nt
Filed under: Hordeum vulgare
Lineage: Eukaryota; Viridiplantae; Streptophyta; Magnoliopsida; Poales; Poaceae
Description: long non-coding RNA (HVUL_LNC006738)
Source: RNAcentral